Alosa sapidissima (American shad) is the source of this 230-nucleotide long non-coding RNA. RefSeq lists it as uncharacterized. The transcript has 2 exons. Lineage: Eukaryota; Metazoa; Chordata; Actinopteri; Clupeiformes; Clupeidae. The record is from RefSeq and is a predicted model, not a curated record.
CUGGAUUUCCUGGACUUUGCAGAGAGAGUGCGGCUCUUCUGCUGGAUGGCCUUAAGGAGUCAGCAGGGACAUUCAGAAUAACCAGGCCCACUGCUUUGCCUCCAAACCAGUCACCAUGGUGAAUCUGAGGAACAGAUGACAGAGACAUACGACUUUAUGAACGGUUGACUCUGAGGAAGAAGCUGUGCAUCGAAACUUUAGUUGUUUGAACCAUUAAAGUCUGAAAAAGC